GCUUCUCUGAGAUCCAUGUCACACAGAAGCCUCUUUUCUGAAUGAACGUUGACUUUGAAGUCAGACAGAUUUGAGUUUGAAUUCCACCUCUGUCAGGCAUGAACUGUGUGACUCUGGGAAAAUUAGUGUCUCUAAAUUGAUUUUCUACGUUAUAAAAGAGAAUAACCAAAACCAGCUUUAUAAAUGUAGAAGAGGUAAGAUAUGUAAAAUUACCUCAUACAGAUCUACAAAUUGGGCAAUUUAUGAGAGAGAGGGAGAACUACGUGUAGUGGGAAGACUUGUACUGUACUCUCUCAUGGUGUAUGAUAGCCCCCAGCUCUUUCAUUAUUAGAGAAACCAACAAUACAUUUUAAACUUACGGAGAUGGUGGAGUUAAAGAUGCAUGAAGGAAGGAAGGGAGAAGAUGUGAUGCAGGCACAUCACCAAAGACAAGAGAUCCAGACUUCCAGGAGUGAAACAACAGAAAACAACCAGUGGCUCACCGUGACACUGGAAAU
Gorilla gorilla gorilla (western lowland gorilla) is the source of this 497-nucleotide long non-coding RNA. RefSeq lists it as uncharacterized. The transcript is spliced from 3 exons. NCBI's taxonomy places the organism in Eukaryota, Metazoa, Chordata, Mammalia, Primates, Hominidae. The record is from RefSeq and is a predicted model, not a curated record.